RNAcentral lists this ribosomal RNA (497 nucleotides) under uncultured bacterium. Its description in RNAcentral is "partial 16S ribosomal RNA". It matches the Rfam family "Bacterial small subunit ribosomal RNA", at positions 28 to 507 of the family's 1533-position model. The record is from RNAcentral.
GACGAACGCUGGCGGCGUGCCUAAUACAUGCAAGUUGAGCGAUGAAGAUUGGUGCUUGCACCAAUUUGAAGAGCAGCGAACGGGUGAGUAACGCGUGGGGAAUCUGCCUUUGAGCGGGGGACAACAUUUGGAAACGAAUGCUAAUACCGCAUAACAACUUUAAACAUAAGUUUUAAGUUUGAAAGAUGCAAUUGCAUCACUCAAAGAUGAUCCCGCGUUGUAUUAGCUAGUUGGUGAGGUAAAGGCUCACCAAGGCGAUGUUACAUAGCCGACCUGAGAGGGUGAUCGGCCACAUUGGGACGGAGACACGGCCCAAACGCCUACGGGAGGCAGCAGUAGGGAAUCGUCGGCAAUGGACGAAAGUCUGACCGAGCAACGCCGCGUGAGUGAAGAAGGUUGUCGGAUCGUAAAACUCUGUUGGUAGAGAAGAACGUUGGUGAGAGUGGAAAGCUCAUCAAGUGACGGUAACUACCCAGAAAGGGACGGCUAACUACGUG